RNAcentral lists this ribosomal RNA (515 nucleotides) under Sulawesiella rafaelae. RNAcentral's name for it is "partial large subunit ribosomal RNA". It matches the Rfam family "Bacterial large subunit ribosomal RNA", at positions 1819 to 2603 of the family's 2925-position model. The record is from RNAcentral. Lineage: Eukaryota; Metazoa; Arthropoda; Insecta; Coleoptera; Cerambycidae.
GGCCUUUUGAAAAUAAUUUAAGGUCUAGCCUGCCCACUGAGUAUUUAAAGGGCCGCGGUAUCCUGACCGUGCUAAGGUAGCAUAAUCAUUAGUUUUUUAAUUGAAAGCUGGAAUGAAUGGUUGGAUGAGAAAAAAGCUGUCUCUAAUUAAUUUUUGAUGAAUUUUAUUUUUAAGUUAAAAAGCUUAAAUAUUUUUAAAAGACGAGAAGACCCUAUAGAGUUUUAUAUUUUGAUUAGUUAAUUUUUUUUUAGAAUUUUAGGAAAUUAAUUAGUUGAAUUAUUUGAUUGGGGUGAUUGAAAAAUAAGGAAAACUUUUUUGAUUUAAGAACAUUAAUUUAUGGAAAUUUGAUCCGUGUAAGCGAUUUUUAGAAUAAAUUACCUUAGGGAUAACAGCGUAAUUUUUUUUGAGAGUUCAUAUCGACAGAAAAGUUUGCGACCUCGAUGUUGGAUUAAAAUUAAUUUUUGGUGUAGAAGCUAGAAAUAUUGGGUCUGUUCGACCCUUAAAAUUUUACAUGA